Molecule: ribosomal RNA, 481 nt
Filed under: uncultured Gammaproteobacteria bacterium
Lineage: Bacteria; Pseudomonadati; Pseudomonadota; Gammaproteobacteria
Description: bacterial SSU rRNA
Rfam family: Bacterial small subunit ribosomal RNA
Source: RNAcentral
AUUGAACGCUGGCGGUAUGCUUAACACAUGCAAGUCGAACGGUAGCAGGCCUUCGGGCGCUGACGAGUGGCGGACGGGUGAGUAAUGCAUAGGAAUCUGCCUAUUAGUGGGGGAUAACGUGGGGAAACUCACGCUAAUACCGCAUACGACCUACGGGUGAAAGGUGGGGAUCUUCGGACCUGCCGCUAAUAGAUGAGCCUAUGUUGGAUUAGCUAGUUGGUGAGGUAAGGGCUCACCAAGGCGACGAUCCAUAGCUGGUCUGAGAGGAUGAUCAGCCACACUGGGACUGAGACACGGCCCAGACUCCUACGGGAGGCAGCAGUGGGGAAUAUUGGACAAUGGGCGAAAGCCUGAUCCAGCAAUACCGCGUGUGUGAAGAAGGCCUGAGGGUUGUAAAGCACUUUCAAUAGGAAGGAAUACCUACCGGUUAAUACCCGGUAGACUGACAUUACCUAUACAAGAAGCACCGGCUAACUCCGUG